GUGGAUAAAUAUAUUUCUGACAUUUAUAAAAGUAUAUAGACUAUUUAUUUACACACAAAAACAAAAAUUUGACCUUUAUAUCUUCUUUCUGUAAUCAGUUUUCCAGUGUGGUCUUGUGAUCAGGAUGCAUCAGCGGAAAACUUAACGGAGAAAAAGCCCAUGAAUUCUUGAACUCCAUCAGUGCCCAGAAAAGUAUUUUUAUAAGGGAAUGUUCUAGGUAUUGGGGACCUGCUACAUAUCAUGUUGGGACAGCAGUUACACCAGAUCCUGAACAUACGUAGUGAGGCCAUCUGUACAUCUGGAUAAUGUUUCUUUGUGCUGGUGAAAAUUCUUAUUCAUCAUUUAAAUACUGUGAAGACUCAGAGAGGUUGCUUGGCUGAAGCCAGUGAAUUUUUUAGAAAGAAAAGGUAUCCAAGUCUUCUGGAAAAAGAUUGGCAUAAACUGAUAGCAAAUUUGACAAUGUGAAGUCUAAGCAGCUAUACUUGUGUUACCAAGAAAUUUAUCCACUUCUCAAUUCCUUUAUGGAUACUGAUUUACUGAGUUCUCCUGCAUGUGUAGUUGUGGUUUAGAAUAUUUUUAAAUACCAUUAAAUACCAUUAUAUAUUUGAACACAGAUCUAUGACCAGAUCAUGAAGUUAUUUCUCACGUCUGUAAUAUGCAACUUAACAGUUUUUGGAUUUGAAUGAUGCACAGUCUGUCUUACU
Molecule: long non-coding RNA, 704 nt
Filed under: Coturnix japonica (Japanese quail)
Lineage: Eukaryota; Metazoa; Chordata; Aves; Galliformes; Phasianidae
Description: lncRNA (ENSCJPG00005003317.1)
Source: RNAcentral